This 77-nucleotide transfer RNA is filed under the name Methyloprofundus sp. RNAcentral's name for it is "tRNA-Arg". It matches the Rfam family "tRNA". Rfam says of the family: Transfer RNA (tRNA) molecules are approximately 80 nucleotides in length. Their secondary structure includes four short double-helical elements and three loops (D, anti-codon, and T loops). The record is from RNAcentral. Lineage: Bacteria; Pseudomonadati; Pseudomonadota; Gammaproteobacteria; Methylococcales; Methylococcaceae.
GUCCCAAUAGCUCAGUGGAUAGAGCACCAUCCUCCUAAGAUGGGUUGUCGGGGGUUCAAAUCCCUCUUGGGGCACCA